GCCAACUUAGCUCAUCCGGUAGAGCAGCGCCCUCGUAACGCGCAGGUGAUGUGUUCGAGUCACAUAGUUGGCU
Molecule: transfer RNA, 73 nt
Filed under: Treponema sp.
Lineage: Bacteria; Pseudomonadati; Spirochaetota; Spirochaetia; Treponematales; Treponemataceae
Also listed under: 1 other name
Description: tRNA-Thr
Rfam family: tRNA
About the family: Transfer RNA (tRNA) molecules are approximately 80 nucleotides in length. Their secondary structure includes four short double-helical elements and three loops (D, anti-codon, and T loops). Further hydrogen bonds mediate the characteristic L-shaped molecular structure. tRNAs have two regions of fundamental functional importance: the anti-codon, which is responsible for specific mRNA codon recognition, and the 3' end, to which the tRNAs corresponding amino acid is attached (by aminoacyl-tRNA synthetases). tRNAs cope with the degeneracy of the genetic code in two manners: having more than one tRNA (with a specific anti-codon) for a particular amino acid; and 'wobble' base-pairing, i.e. permitting non-standard base-pairing at the 3rd anti-codon position.
Source: RNAcentral